RNAcentral lists this ribosomal RNA (120 nucleotides) under uncultured bacterium. Its description in RNAcentral is "partial 16S ribosomal RNA". It matches the Rfam family "Bacterial small subunit ribosomal RNA", at positions 215 to 334 of the family's 1533-position model. The record is from RNAcentral.
GCACUGAAGGAUGAGCCCAAGUCGGAUUAGCUAGUUGGCGGGGUAACGGCCCACCAAGGCGACGAUCCGUAGCUGGUCUGAGAGGACGAUCAGCCACACCGGAACUGAGACACGGUCCGG